Molecule: non-coding RNA, 28 nt
Filed under: Mus musculus (house mouse)
Lineage: Eukaryota; Metazoa; Chordata; Mammalia; Rodentia; Muridae
Source: RNAcentral
UGGGAUUAAAGACAUGCACCACUAUGUC